UACAGAGGGGGCAAGCGUUAUUCGGAAUUAUUGGGCGUAAAGAGCGCGUAGGCGGCCCGGAAAGUCGGAUGUGAAAACCCGGGGCUCAACCCCGGGCCUGCAUCCGAUACUCCCGGGCUGGAGGCAGGUAGGGGAGAUCGGAAUUCCUGGUGUAGCGGUGAAAUGCGCAGAUAUCAGGAGGAACACCGGUGGCGAAGGCGGAUCUCUGGGCCUGUCCUGACGCUGAGGCGCGAAAGCUAGGGGAGCGAACAGG
Molecule: ribosomal RNA, 253 nt
Filed under: uncultured bacterium
Lineage: Bacteria
Description: partial 16S ribosomal RNA
Rfam family: Bacterial small subunit ribosomal RNA
Source: RNAcentral